UGCCAGACUCCUACGGGAGGCAGCAGUGAGGAAUAUUGGUCAAUGGGCGAGAGCCUGAACCAGCCAAGUCGCGUGAAGGAUGACGGCCCUACGGGUUGUAAACUUCUUUUGUCAGGGAGCAAUUGGGUCCACGCGUGGGCUUAGCGAGAGUACCUGAAGAAAAAGCAUCGGCUAACUCCGUGCCAGCAGCCGCGGUAAUACGGAGGAUGCGAGCGUUAUCCGGAUUUAUUGGGUUUAAAGGGUGCGUAGGCGGGAUGCCAAGUCAGCGGUCAAAUACGGGGGCUCAACCUGCGUCCGCCGUUGAAACUGGCGUUCUUGAGUGGGCGAGAAGUACGCGGAAUGCGUGGUGUAGCGGUGAAAUGCAUAGAUAUCACGCAGAACCCCGAUUGCGAAGGCAGCGUACCGGCGCCCGACUGACGCUGAAGCACGAAAGCGUGGGGAUCGAACAGGAUUAGAUACCCCAGUAGCG
Molecule: ribosomal RNA, 469 nt
Filed under: uncultured bacterium
Lineage: Bacteria
Description: bacterial SSU rRNA
Rfam family: Bacterial small subunit ribosomal RNA
Source: RNAcentral